CCCAGACUCCUACGGGAGGCAGCAGUGGGGAAUAUUGGGCAAUGGGCGCAAGCCUGACCCAGCAACGCCGCGUGAAGGAAGAAGGCUUUCGGGUUGUAAACUUCUUUUCUCAGGGACGAAGAAAGUGACGGUACCUGAGGAAUAAGCCACGGCUAACUACGUGCCAGCAGCCGCGGUAAUACGUAGGUGGCAGGCGUUAUCCGGAUUUACUGGGUGUAAAGGGCGUGUAGGCGGGACUGCAAGUCAGAUGUGAAAACCAUGGGCUCAACCUGUGGCCUGCAUUUGAAACUGUAGUUCUUGAGUACUGGAGAGGCAGACGGAAUUCCUAGUGUAGCGGUGAAAUGCGUAGAUAUGAGGAGGAACACCAGUGGCGAAGGCGGCCUGCUGGACUGCGACUGACGUUGAGGCCCGAAAGCGUGGGGAGCAAACAGGAUUAGAUACCCCGGUACG
This 450-nucleotide ribosomal RNA is filed under the name uncultured bacterium. RNAcentral describes it as "partial 16S ribosomal RNA". It matches the Rfam family "Bacterial small subunit ribosomal RNA", at positions 330 to 793 of the family's 1533-position model. The record is from RNAcentral.